GAGAGAAUGAUGAAACAGAAGAGUUUAGGAAGAAGCAUGGCUGGGAAAAAAUGCAGAAAAAAAAAAAAAAAGGGAGAAGACCAAAUUGUCUUCAAGAGAGUGAAGAAAAUGCAAAAGCCAUAUCAAUAGAAAUGGAUUUGCAUGGUGAAGAUGAUGGAUGAAUCUCCAUUUUUAUCUAUAAUUUCAGAAUCAACACCCCCAAAAAUGGUAUUCUUUUGCUUCUUCGUCUUCUCCAAUUUCAAAACACUCCACUCACCACUGUUUCAACUUAUUGCUUUUAUGCACUUCUCUCAACAGUCUUUUCUUUUUAGUACAAUCUUGUUUAUCUUUUUUAACACAUUGCAAUUUCUAUUUCCCUCCAACUAAUUUAUUCCUACAUUAUUAUGCUC
Molecule: long non-coding RNA, 389 nt
Organism: Cucumis sativus (cucumber)
Lineage: Eukaryota; Viridiplantae; Streptophyta; Magnoliopsida; Cucurbitales; Cucurbitaceae
Exons: 2
Source: RefSeq, a predicted model, not a curated record